GGUAGGAUAGCCUAAUGCUAGGCGGUGGGUUGUAGCCCCGAAGACAGAGGUUUAAUUCCUCUUCCUGCCA
Molecule: transfer RNA, 70 nt
Filed under: Vaillantella maassi
Lineage: Eukaryota; Metazoa; Chordata; Actinopteri; Cypriniformes; Vaillantellidae
Description: tRNA-Tyr
Rfam family: tRNA
About the family: Transfer RNA (tRNA) molecules are approximately 80 nucleotides in length.
Source: RNAcentral